UACAGAGGGUGCAAGCGUUGUUCGGAAUUAUUGGGCGUAAAGCGCGUGUAGGCGGUCUCGCAAGUCGGAUGUGAAAGCCCUCGGCUUAACCGAGGAAGUGCGUUCGAUACUACGAGACUUGAGUGCCGGAGAGGGUGGCGGAAUUCCCGGUGUAGAGGUGAAAUUCGUAGAUAUCGGGAGGAACACCAGUGGCGAAGGCGGCCACCUGGACGGUAACUGACGCUGAGACGCGAAAGCGUGGGGAGCAAACAGG
RNAcentral lists this ribosomal RNA (253 nucleotides) under uncultured bacterium. Its description in RNAcentral is "partial 16S ribosomal RNA". It matches the Rfam family "Bacterial small subunit ribosomal RNA", at positions 524 to 776 of the family's 1533-position model. The record is from RNAcentral.